This is a long non-coding RNA of Rosa chinensis, 986 nucleotides long. RefSeq lists it as uncharacterized. NCBI's taxonomy places the organism in Eukaryota, Viridiplantae, Streptophyta, Magnoliopsida, Rosales, Rosaceae. The record is from RefSeq and is a predicted model, not a curated record. The transcript has 3 exons.
ACCAAAUUAUUUUUAUUUUUUCUUUGUACUAGAAUCUGACAAUGGCCAUUGAAAAUUCUAUUAUAUUCUUUCUUUCUCUCUCCUCUCUCUUCUCUCUCUUCAGUGCUCCCACACUUGAUGCAAGUUUGCAUCUUCUUCCUUUCUCCCUGAAGGCUUGAACUCACCGAAACCAUCAAAUUAUCAGCCAGCAAAAUCUCUCCAGAUCUGCUCCUCCCUUCUUUUUGAAUUCAAAGUAGACAGUACUAGCAAAAGGAUGGAAUUCCAUCUUCACUCCCAAGUCCCUUGUUCUAAAUAUUCGGUGGUUUGGCUAUUUCUAGAUCUUCAAUGGUUUUGCUAUCUUCAGAUCUUCAUCCCCUUUUAAGACUUCGGGCAAUAAGAGCAGUAAUAGGUGGUGAUAAGGUCUUUGUGCACGACGAGAAGUCUCAACCCAAGUUUUGGAAUUGAUGGGGUGGGUCACUGGCAAAGGACUUCCAAAUUGAAGUAAAAGGAAAUGAUGUUCAUGUGGUUUUGCUCAUAACUCUUCUCAGAAAAAAGCAUCAAGCAUGCUGCGAUCGUCAAUGUGAACUCUGUCAAAGAGGUAGGUCUCAUCAAAAAGCCCGCGGAUCAAAUGGGCCGAUGGAGGCCCGCCGGCCCUGAGGGCUAAAGCCUGGCCCGGCCCGUUAAAAAGCCCGCUUCUGUGGGUAGUGGGCCGGCCCGCAAAAAUCCGGCCCGUAAAAGUCCGUAAAAUAUUAUAUAUAUAUAUAUAUGUGUGUGUGUGUGUGUGUGUGUAGGCCUCAUCAAAAAGCCCGCGGAUCAAGUGGGCCGAUGGAGGCCCGCCGGCCCUGAGGGCUAAAAGCCCGGCCCGGCUCGUUAAAAAGACCGCCUCGGUGGGUAGUGGGCCGGCCCGCAAAAAUCCGGCCCGGCCUGUAAAAGCCUACUAAGCCCAGCCCGUAAAAUAAUAAAUAUAUAUAUAUAUAUAUAUAUAUAUUAUGUGUGUGUAUGUGUGU